GCCCAGGUGGCGGAACUGGUAGACGCGCAGGACUUAAAAUCCUGUUGCCUGUAAAGGCAGUAUCGGUUCGAUUCCGAUCCUGGGCACAA
This 89-nucleotide transfer RNA is filed under the name Ignavibacteriota bacterium. RNAcentral describes it as "Ignavibacteriae bacterium tRNA-Leu". It matches the Rfam family "tRNA". Rfam says of the family: Transfer RNA (tRNA) molecules are approximately 80 nucleotides in length. Their secondary structure includes four short double-helical elements and three loops (D, anti-codon, and T loops). RNAcentral also lists the same sequence under 3 other names. The record is from RNAcentral. Lineage: Bacteria; Pseudomonadati; Ignavibacteriota.